Non-coding RNA from Pelobates cultripes (western spadefoot toad), 210 nucleotides. NCBI's taxonomy places the organism in Eukaryota, Metazoa, Chordata, Amphibia, Anura, Pelobatidae. The record is from the annotation of a GenBank genome assembly.
CCCUUGUCUGUGUCCCUCCAAGUCAAUGGCGCUACCAUCCGCUUUACCUCCAGGGUUCGCUGCCUAGGUGUUCUCCUUGACUCCGACCUCUCCUUUACCCCCAUGUCCAAUCAAUCACUAAAUCCUGCCGCUUCCAUCUCAAAAAUAUUGUGCGCGUCUGACCCUAUAUAACGCCUGAUAUGGCAAAGGUGCUUGUAAAUGCCGCUGUCC